UCACUUACCUGGUUGGGGUCAAUGGGUGAUCAAGAAGGUCCAUGGCCUACGUUGGUGACCUCCAUUGCACUUUGGAGGGGUGCCCGCCUAAGGUUGGCCCAAGUGGUCGAGCCUACAUCAUAAUUUGUGGCAGUGGGGGCUUGCGUUCGCGCAGCCCCUGC
Molecule: non-coding RNA, 161 nt
Organism: Helianthus annuus (common sunflower)
Lineage: Eukaryota; Viridiplantae; Streptophyta; Magnoliopsida; Asterales; Asteraceae
Source: Rfam